Molecule: ribosomal RNA, 1373 nt
Filed under: Salmonella enterica subsp. enterica serovar Typhimurium
Lineage: Bacteria; Pseudomonadati; Pseudomonadota; Gammaproteobacteria; Enterobacterales; Enterobacteriaceae
Description: partial 23S ribosomal RNA
Rfam family: Bacterial large subunit ribosomal RNA
Source: RNAcentral
UCCAUAGGUUAAUGAGGCGAACCGGGGGAACUGAAACAUCUAAGUACCCCGAGGAAAAGAAAUCAACCGAGAUUCCCCCAGUAGCGGCGAGCGAACGGGGAGGAGCCCAGAGCCUGAAUCAGCAUGUGUGUUAGUGGAAGCGUCUGGAAAGGCGCGCGAUACAGGGUGACAGCCCCGUACACAAAAGCGCAUGUGCUGUGAGCUCGAUGAGUAGGGCGGGACACGUGGUAUCCUGUCUGAAUAUGGGGGGACCAUCCUCCAAGGCUAAAUACUCCUGACUGACCGAUAGUGAACCAGUACCGUGAGGGAAAGGCGAAAAGAACCCCGGCGAGGGGAGUGAAAAAGAACCUGAAACCGUGUACGUACAAGCAGUGGGAGCACCCUUCGGGGUGUGACUGCGUACCUUUUGUAUAAUGGGUCAGCGACUUAUAUUCUGUAGCAAGGUUAACCGUAUAGGGGAGCCGGAGGGAAACCGAGUCUUAACCGGGCGUUAAGUUGCAGGGUAUAGACCCGAAACCCGGUGAUCUAGCCAUGGGCAGGUUGAAGGUUGGGUAACACUAACUGGAGGACCGAACCGACUAAUGUUGAAAAAUUAGCGGAUGACCUGUGGCUGGGGGUGAAAGGCCAAUCAAACCGGGAGAUAGCUGGUUCUCCCCGAAAGCUAUUUAGGUAGCGCCUCGUGAAUUCAUCUCCGGGGGUAGAGCACUGUUUCGGCUAGGGGGCCAUCCCGGCUUACCAACCCGAUGCAAACUGCGAAUACCGGAGAAUGUUAUCACGGGAGACACACGGCGGGUGCUAACGUCCGUCGUGAAGAGGGAAACAACCCAGACCGCCAGCUAAGGUCCCAAAGUCAUGGUUAAGUGGGAAACGAUGUGGGAAGGCCCAGACAGCCAGGAUGUUGGCUUAGAAGCAGCCAUCAUUUAAAGAAAGCGUAAUAGCUCACUGGUCGAGUCGGCCUGCGCGGAAGAUGUAACGGGGCUAAACCAUGCACCGAAGCUGCGGCAGCGAACGUAUCACCCAAGACAACUUUACGGAGUUGACGAUUGACGGAGCGAAGCGACGUCAAAGCGUUCAUUAAAGUCGAGUUGGCUUAGGGAUACGUUCGUUGGGUAGGGGAGCGUUCUGUAAGCCUGUGAAGGUGUGUCGUGAGGCAUGCUGGAGGUAUCAGAAGUGCGAAUGCUGACAUAAGUAACGAUAAAGCGGGUGAAAAGCCCGCUCGCCGGAAGACCAAGGGUUCCUGUCCAACGUUAAUCGGGGCAGGGUGAGUCGACCCCUAAGGCGAGGCCGAAAGGCGUAGUCGAUGGGAAACGGGUUAAUAUUCCCGUACUUGGUGUUACUGCGAAGGGGGGACGGAGAAGGCUAUGUUGGCCGGG